CGAACGGGUGAGUAAUGCGUGACCAACCUGCCCCAUGCUCCAGAAUAGCUCUUGGAAACGGGUGGUAAUGCUGGAUGCUCCAACUUGACGCAUGUCUUGUUGGGAAGUGUUUAGUGGCAUGGGAUGGGGUCGCGUCCUAUCAGCUUGUAGGCGGGGUAAUGGCCCACCUAGGCUUCGACGGGUAGCCGGCCUGAGAGGGCGGACGGCCACAUUGGGACUGAGAUACGGCCCAGACUCCUACGGGAGGCAGCAGGC
RNAcentral lists this ribosomal RNA (255 nucleotides) under uncultured Gardnerella sp. Its description in RNAcentral is "partial 16S ribosomal RNA". It matches the Rfam family "Bacterial small subunit ribosomal RNA", at positions 99 to 354 of the family's 1533-position model. Lineage: Bacteria; Bacillati; Actinomycetota; Actinomycetes; Bifidobacteriales; Bifidobacteriaceae. The record is from RNAcentral.